UUCGCAUGAAACUUAUAUAAAAGGAGCCUUUAAAGCUCCGCUGAGAGAUCGGGGUGCGCAACAUUAGCUAGUUGGUGAGGUAACGGCCCACCAAGGCGAUGAUGUUUAGCGGGGUUGAGAGACUGAACCGCCACACUGGGACUGAGAUACGGCCCAGACUCCUACGGGAGGCAGCAGUAGGGAAUAUUCCACAAUGAGCGAAAGCUUGAUGGAGCGACACAGCGUGCAGGAUGAAGGUCCUAUGGAUUGUAAACUGCUGUGGUAAGGGAAGAAAAAGUCAUAGAGGAAAUGCUAUGACAUUGACGGUACCUUAUUAGAAAGCAACGGCUAACUAUGUGCCAGCAGCCGCGGUAAUACAUAGGUUGCAAGCGUUAUCCGGAAUUAUUGGGCGUAAAGCGUCUGUAGGUUGUUUGUUAAGUCUGGCGUCAAAUUUUGGGGCUCAACCCCAAACCGCGUUGGAUACUGGCAAACUAGAGUUGUGUAGAGGUUAGCGGAAUUCCUUGUGAAGCGGUGAAAUGCGUAGAUAUAAGGAAGAACACCAUUUUGGCGAAGGCGGCUAACUGGGCAUAUACUGACACUGAGAGACGAAAGCGUGGGGAGCAAACAGGAUUAGAUACCCUGGUAGUCCACGCCCUAAACGAUGAUCAUUAGCUGAUGGAGAUCGUCGGCGCAGCUAACGCAUUAAAUGAUCCGCCUGAGUAGUACGUUCGCAAGAAUAAAACUUAAAGGAAUUGACGGG
Molecule: ribosomal RNA, 739 nt
Filed under: uncultured Mycoplasma sp.
Lineage: Bacteria; Bacillati; Mycoplasmatota; Mollicutes; Mycoplasmatales; Mycoplasmataceae
Description: bacterial SSU rRNA
Rfam family: Bacterial small subunit ribosomal RNA
Source: RNAcentral